Molecule: ribosomal RNA, 387 nt
Filed under: uncultured bacterium
Lineage: Bacteria
Description: bacterial SSU rRNA
Rfam family: Bacterial small subunit ribosomal RNA
Source: RNAcentral
AUUAAACGCUGGCGGCAUGCCUUACACAUGCAAGUCGAACGGCAGCACGGGGGCAACCCUGGUGGCGAGUGGCGGACGGGUGAGUAAAGCAUCGGAACGUAUCCUGGAGUGGGGGAUAACGUAGCGAAAGUUACGCUAAUACCGCAUAUUCUGUGAGCAGGAAAGCAGGGGACCGCAAGGCCUUGCGCUCUUUGAGCGGCCGAUGUCAGAUUAGCUAGUUGGUGAGGUAAAGGCUUACCAAGGCGACGAUCUGUAGCGGGUCUGAGAGGAUGAUCCGCCACACUGGAACUGAGACACGGUCCAGACUCCUACGGGAGGCAGCAGUGGGGAAUUUUGGACAAUGGGCGCAAGCCUGAUCCAGCCAUGCCGCGUGAGUGAAGAAGGCCU